GAUGAACGCUGGCGGCGUGCCUAAUACAUGCAAGUCGAGCGAACGGACGAGAAGCUUGCGUCUCUGAUGUUAGCGGCGGACGGGUGAGUAACACGUGGAUAACCUACCUAUAAUACUGGGAUAACUUCGGGAAACCGGAGCUACUACCAGAUAAUAUUUUGAACCGCAUGGUUCAAAAGUGAAAGACGGUCUUGCUGUCACUUAUAGAUGGAUCCGCGUUGGAUUAGCUAGUUGGUAAGGUAACGGCUUACCAAGGCAACGAUGCAUAGCCGACCUGAGAGGGUGAUCGGCCACACUGGAACUGAGACACGGUCCAGACUCCUACGGGAGGCAGCAGUAGGGAAUCUUCCGCAAUGGGCGAAAGCCUGAUGCAGCCACGCCGCGUGAGUGAUGAAGGUCUUCGGAUCGUAAAACUCUGUUAUUAGGGAAGAACAUAUGUGUAAGUAACUGUGGACAUCUUGACGGUACCUAAUCAGAAAGCCCCGGCUAACUACGUG
RNAcentral lists this ribosomal RNA (497 nucleotides) under uncultured bacterium. RNAcentral describes it as "partial 16S ribosomal RNA". It matches the Rfam family "Bacterial small subunit ribosomal RNA", at positions 28 to 507 of the family's 1533-position model. The record is from RNAcentral.